Molecule: long non-coding RNA, 1517 nt
Organism: Gymnodraco acuticeps
Lineage: Eukaryota; Metazoa; Chordata; Actinopteri; Perciformes; Bathydraconidae
Exons: 5
Source: RefSeq, a predicted model, not a curated record
UUAUAAAGGAAGUUUGAAACCUCCUUUCCUUUCAUUUGGAGAAUUGGAACGGCACUUAUCAUGGCUGCCACUGACGUACUUCCGGGUCAUUUCACUCCGUUAGGAAGGUUCCUAAGCUAAAUUGACUAUUGGACUGGGCCCCAGGUCUCCAUUGAAACCAAUGGAAAUGAGCUCGCAACGUUGAUGUGUAUGGCUCCGUACAAAGUUGUACUCAUUGCAUUAGUAUAGGCUACUGUAGCUUUUUACACUGGAGGCGCCCAUCUCGGCCGAAGUCGGUUCAUAUUAACCUAAAGGUACAUCAUUAAAUGGUAAUUGGUGUGGAGAAGAUUGACCUCAGCCUUGCUUUGAACAUUGUUCCAAAGGCUCUGUAGUAAAUGAUGUCUCUCUCAGCUGGAUAUGCUAUAUGACAAACUUCUGAAGAUUUUGGAGAAGAGAGGAGGACAGAUAGGCCAGCGUCUGAACUGUAUUAUGUCAAACAUGACUCAAGUUGAUGAUGUCGAUUUAGGCCGGGAUUGUCUUCUCAAGGGGCUGUGUGUGCACCUCAAUUAGGACCCAGAAGAUCUGCUGAGAGAGUUUGUGGCAGAAGAUGAAGACGUCAUUCUGCGGUCCAUUGAGGGGAUAGUGGGACUUUAUGUUGUCAAACACAAUUCCACCAUGAGACCAGAGGACAGAUGAGACCAGAGGACAGAUUGUCCUGGAAGGCCAACAGGUAAUAACUGAUGUGGACAACAUCGCAUUAGCUGCUACCAUGUUAUUUGGACUAAUGUCUGCAAUGAACCUGAACUACCCCCCUAAACUGAAGUGCACGUUCGAAGUGCUCCAGCAAAUGUUAAUGGAGCUAGAUGGCAACAUGCUCUCCAAGAAAGCCCAAGCUUUUAAAAACAAACUAUUUGAGUGAGCUGUUGCCAUGGACCAUUGUGCACUUUUACAGCAUUUAUACUGGACUUUCAUCGAUACAACUGUCUUGCACUUCCUUUGUUCAUGCUUUUUGAUGUAUUGAUUUGCAUGUUUCAGAAAUGUGUGUUUUUCCUGGGGUCAUGUGUUUUCAGAAUGUACCAUUUGUCAUGUGUUUCAGAAUGUACUAACUUCAAAAUGUCAGUGCUUGUUUUUAUUUGUAAUACUUCCAUGUACUUUUCAAAAGCAAUGCCAUUGCUUUUUUGUAUUAAAGUGCCCUUUCAUAUUAGCAGGUUACUAUUUAAAUAAUGGAUUUGCAAGAACAUUUCCUUUUUUCGGCUAGGCGUUGACAUUUUCUGUUAAUUGUUUACUAUGAAUGAGUUACAAAAAUAAGCCUUUCUUUGCCAUUUGGCCCAAUAAACCUUUAUUUUGGUCGGGAGAAUAGUUUCCUUUAAGCUUCCUUGCUGUGUUCUAACACAAUAAUGUAUAUGUACAUGCAUUACAAACAUUUUCUAUUUAUUCUAUUUCUUUAUUUUGAAUGUAUUUGUUAAUUCUCCUGGGGCUGCAUGAUGGAAAAACCAAAAGCUCAUCUGGAUGGGUGGUGGUUGUUAAUAUUGUUUUAU